RNAcentral lists this unclassified non-coding RNA (270 nucleotides) under Hevea brasiliensis (rubber tree). Lineage: Eukaryota; Viridiplantae; Streptophyta; Magnoliopsida; Malpighiales; Euphorbiaceae. The record is from RNAcentral.
GCAAGAUUUGAGCAGUAAUUGUUAUAUCGGGCUCCAAUAGCAACUAUAAUGACACUGGCAGGAUCAUAGUAGAGGUACUCGUCAUUGCUGGCAGCACUAGGUCUGAGAUCAAACUCCCCCCCACUCUGAAAUAUUGGAGGGUAACAUAUAUCACAAUUCUCUGCUUUUAACUUUGCCUUAGCUUUGGCAGGAUCCAUUAUGGCCUUCUCAGCCUCAUCCAUCAAAUAAGAAUGGGUAACUUUCUUCUCCUCAUCAAUAGCAUUCUCAAGA